RNAcentral lists this long non-coding RNA (385 nucleotides) under Fukomys damarensis (Damara mole-rat). Its description in RNAcentral is "lncRNA (ENSFDAG00000023985.1)". Lineage: Eukaryota; Metazoa; Chordata; Mammalia; Rodentia; Bathyergidae. The record is from RNAcentral.
CCCUGGGGCAGAUGCUUCCUGCAGCGCGCAAAUCUGCACGCUGUCAUUUUGAUUUCAGAGAGUUAUUGUUUCCAUGGUCAUCGCCUCUUGAAGAUGUUGCUGACUCAGGGAUCGUGGGCUCUGCCUGUUCACCCAGUGCCAUGCGACAACCUCCAAGGGUCACCGUGUCCCAUGUGGGCUCCCGACUACAGGCAUUCCUGGCCCUGACCAUCCAAAGGCUGGAGCUGAGUGACCGUGUCAGCUGUGACCCAGGCUCAGCAGUCCCCGGGCCUGGGCCACACACUCAAGGGUGUUCUGAGGGUCAUGGUGCCUCGGAUCCGUGGCUCUUCUGUCCCCUCAGUGUCUGAACCCAGGCUGCUCUACAGUGAGGAGGCCCAGUCCUGCC